This 406-nucleotide ribosomal RNA is filed under the name uncultured bacterium. RNAcentral describes it as "bacterial SSU rRNA". It matches the Rfam family "Bacterial small subunit ribosomal RNA", at positions 29 to 480 of the family's 1533-position model. The record is from RNAcentral.
AACGAACGCUGGCGGCAGGCCUAACACAUGCAAGUCGAACGCCCUAGCAAUAGGGAGUGGCAGACGGGUGAGUAACGCGUGGGAACGUACCCUUCGGUUCGGAAUAACCCAGGGAAACUUGGACUAAUACCGGAUACGUGCGAGAGCAGAAAGAUUUAUCGCCGAAGGAUCGGCCCGCGUCCGAUUAGCUAGUUGGUGAGGUAAUGGCUCACCAAGGCGACGAUCGGUAGCUGGUCNGAGAGGAUGAUCAGCCACACUGGGACUGAGACACGGCCCAGACUCCUACGGGAGGCAGCAGUGGGGAAUAUUGGACAAUGGGCGCAAGCCUGAUCCAGCCAUGCCGCGUGAGUGAUGAAGGCCCUAGGGUUGUAAAGCUCUUUCGCCAGGGACGAUAAUGACGGUACCU